UUUAAAAAAGUUAUACUAUAGAAGGAAUGUGCAUUUUCCCUAGGACAUGUGCAGUAUAUAUUGUAGAAAGGGGUAAAAGAAAUGCAAAUGAAACGUGCUGCUGAAUUAAAAUCCUAUUAGGGCUCCAAAAAGAGCCGCAAUAGGCUGUUGUUUUUUGUUCAGAUCCCUGUGUGUUAAUACAGAGUCUCUGAGCUCUGCUGAUGGCUUUUAAUCCAAAAGCCAAGCCUGUGUUGAUGCAAAUUACCUAACCGAUAAAGAAAGGUGAGAAGUGCCAGCACAAAAGAAGCUGCAAAUAAAAAACAUACCUGGUCAGCAAACAAAUUGCCUAAAUAAAAGGCAUGGUAUAACGAGAUACCUUUAAUAGAUUUGACGCUAAUGUUAUUGUUUAAAUUUAUUUCAAUGUUUAAUAUUACGUUAGUAAGUACCCCUGUAACAACGUAUAGUGUGUAUGAUUUUUGGAAAAAUCCUUUAAGGUAAUAUGGUAAUAAUGCUUCUCAGCUAUUACCUGUGAAUAAACUUAAAGCUUAACACAGAGGAAGAACAUUACAAACUUGGUCUGCUAUAUAAGAGGAAAAACUUGAGGUACACCACCUCAUGAAUUUAAUAACUAAACAGUGGAAUAAUUUCCUGAUAACCCUUAAAAAGUAGAAGCCAUUAAAACCUGGUCUGCCUAUAAAACAAAACAAAACAAAAAAAACACAGGAAAAUAUGGAUGUAAUUCCUCUGUUUUGGCUGCAAUCAGCAAGGGUAUUUUUAAAAGAAUGGAAUCUUUAAGCAAUAAUCAAUGCCACCCCAAAAGGGGUAGAAAAAUGUUAUUUUUAUCUUUCAGAAAAUCCAAAGUCCUGUAUAAUGGGCUGUGUGUGUGUGUGUUAAUUCUUGGGGAAAAGUGUUUAAAAAGUGUUAGCAACCCACUAGAAGACAAAUGUAAAUGUAAUGUAAGUACUGUGUUUACCAAUAAUCACAUAUACUAUUUGCCACAAUAACAAAAAAAGAAAGUCUCAGCUUACUGUAAAAACUGAUUUAGCUGAGUUCUCUAUCAAUCUUGGCACUGAAUGGCAAACAGUUACCAAUCAUCUGUUAAAAGGUAAAAAGGUAACAUAGUUCCUAGAAAAAAAACAAUAAAAUAAAAUAAUAAGGAAAAUGUGGAA
Non-coding RNA from Chelonoidis abingdonii (Abingdon island giant tortoise), 1148 nucleotides. NCBI's taxonomy places the organism in Eukaryota, Metazoa, Chordata, Testudines, Testudinidae. The record is from RefSeq and is a predicted model, not a curated record.